Molecule: unclassified non-coding RNA, 254 nt
Filed under: uncultured Ktedonobacterales bacterium
Lineage: Bacteria; Bacillati; Chloroflexota; Ktedonobacteria; Ktedonobacterales
Description: contains 16S-23S intergenic spacer region
Rfam family: Bacterial small subunit ribosomal RNA
Source: RNAcentral
UACGUAGGAGACGAGCGUUGUCCGGAGUUACUGGGCGUAAAGGGCGCGCAGGCGGCCUGUGCAGGUGUCUGGUGAAAGCUCCCGGCUUAACUGGGAGAGGUCCAGGCAAACCGCCAGGCUUGAGCGUCGGAGAGGGGCAUGGAAUUCCGGGUGGAGCGGUGAAAUGCGUAGAGAUCCGGAGGAACACCAAUGGCGAAGGCAGUGCCCUGGCCGACGGCUGACGCUCAGGCGCGAAAGCGUGGGGAGCAAACAGG